CUAUUUUUAUGUAAUUAAACUAUGAAUAGCAACUAUUAACCGCGUCAAACGUCAAAAAUUUGACAAAACGUCAUCUGGUAUGAAAUGAUAAAAUCAUAGUAGAUACCGACAGAGAAGUUGUACUCAUUGGUUAUUAUUCUGGUUUUAUACAACGGGAGCCCACCUGUAUGAACCGCAUUCUGGGCUGGUGUCGAUCAGCUCUUCCUAUAUACGAGCUUGGCCAAUGGGAGACUACGUAUUACGAUAUUCACAACAAAGUUUCCUUGUCAUGGGGAUGAAAUAAAUGUUAUUUAUGUUAAA
Molecule: long non-coding RNA, 300 nt
Organism: Danaus plexippus (monarch butterfly)
Lineage: Eukaryota; Metazoa; Arthropoda; Insecta; Lepidoptera; Nymphalidae
Exons: 2
Source: RefSeq, a predicted model, not a curated record